Molecule: non-coding RNA, 547 nt
Organism: Pelobates cultripes (western spadefoot toad)
Lineage: Eukaryota; Metazoa; Chordata; Amphibia; Anura; Pelobatidae
Source: the annotation of a GenBank genome assembly
CAAAGAAUGACUUUAAGAAAGCCUGGAGGAAGUACCCCUAUGAAAUUAAUGUUAAAUAUUGAACAUCCUGGCCCCGAGGAUGCAGACCGAUAUGUAAUGGGAAUGUAUUGGAAGAAAGGUUCCUACAACAAAAUAGGUCAUUUCUACCUCAGAGAUAUGUCCCACUCUCCAGAGUGGCAAGGGGCUGAUCAUAUGGUCCCAAAUCCGCUAAAACCACAUAUCCAGUCCUUUAAAGAUAUGAUGACCAUCGCUAACCCCACUUUUGAAGAUACCAUGGCCGCUGAAACUGGAUUCAAUGACAUUAAUUUGUGGUUAGCAUGGAUGAGGUAUAAUGCCAACAAACAUAAUAAAAAAGCAUGUUAUGUAUGUGGCGGUGCCCGACCCCACCUUGGCACCGUCCCCCUAACUCUCCCUUUAGAGAUAGAAGAUUGCUUCUUAAGCCUUUUUGCCUACCAAUAUGACUUUAAUAGGUCCCUCUGCAUGGCAUGGACGGCAGAAUACCCUCUCUUAGUUGAAAAUGUUAAGCCACCAGAUGGAGUCACAGUCU